This 233-nucleotide long non-coding RNA is filed under the name Capsella rubella. Its description in RNAcentral is "long non-coding RNA (CRUB_LNC002134)". The record is from RNAcentral. Lineage: Eukaryota; Viridiplantae; Streptophyta; Magnoliopsida; Brassicales; Brassicaceae.
GUAUAAUGAUAUUAACUUGCAAAAAAUGCAAGAUCUGUUUUAACGAAAUGCAUGUGUGUGGUGGUUUUAUGUUCUGCUAGGAAUCAUUUGAUUGUCAAAAUCAUAUGUUAUAGAGUUUAAUUCAAUUGUUAAAAAUCAAAUGCUAUGAUGUGGAGUUGUAAAUGUGGAAGCCAUUGGUUUGUUAAAAUGAAUAAGUAAUUCAGUUUCAUUACACCCAAUUUUUUCAAAUCUGA